GCGAUGGAUGUUUGUUGGAAUAGAUACGACUGACACGAUUGGCUAUGGCUACGUAUGCCCAAUAAACAGCCAUUGCAAUCGUAAAACACACACCCCCCUACUAGAUUUACAGUAGGCAGGUCUGCAGACCUUUUUUAAGUUGUGAUUAGGUCUGGUUAUAAUCAGACAACCGAGACAGUCAUGCCUUCCAGAACUUGCCAUAUGCACGCCACUCCACCUGCACUGGCUUGUAUAACAUGAUUCUUACAUUAACACAGUAUUGCGAGUAUGAUCGCAUUUUAACAAAGCAAUGACACGUAUGGAUGAACUCUUAAACUGUUCUCUCUCUAUUAUAUCUCCCCACUCCUGAAAUUAUUUGUUGAUUUAGUCUACAAUUCAGCAGUUUCCAAACUUUAUUCCCUGUGCACCCCCUUGUAUAUUUUAAUGUGGUUUGCUCACCCUCAGCCUAAGCGUGUUUGCACUAUGGGUUAGCAAAUCACCGCACAUUAUGCAGAGUCAUUUUGGAGAAUCCUCAUUCCCAAUAGACCCAAUAUUUUUCUGCCGUCAUUACAAUGGAACUUGUUACAUGACAAUAUAAAUUACACUAUGAAUUGCACUUCCAAUGGACCCUUCCAGCAUACAAUUCACUAUACAGUUAAAAAAAACCUACUACUUAUUGUUCAUUAAUGCUGUUUAAAACACACACAUAUCCACCAUUACUGUACUCUAUUCAUUUUGUGCACUCCCUUAUGGAAGGCCGCGCACCCCAGUUUGGGAAACCCUGGUCUACAUAUUUCACUAAAAAGAAUUGAUUACAUGAUUACUCCUAAAAUAAUAUGCCAUAUGUUUUUCAGGUGGCUUUGUAACAGUGAUUGUGGGAGGAUGCUGUGCAGGUGUCAACAUGAGUGUGUCAACAUGAAUGUGCCGGAGGACUAGAGUAUGCUGGCGUCGACACCCCACCUCCUCCCCUUCAGACUCCAUCGAGGGUUGGUCCCUGUCCUGUGAGGAGAGGAUGCAAUGGGUCUCUGCUUCAGCCGUGGCACCUUCUCUACAACCCUCGCCACUGUCACCAGUUUGUCCCCAUCCUGUGAAGGGGGGUAGGCUUUAGCCCCCUGCCUCAUCAAUCGGCAGGAUAAGCGCCCUCUUCUUUGAAACAGGACAUGUUUUAUUGAUGCUCUACAUGAGUAUUAUAUACAUGUAUAUAUACAGUGCCAUGUGUAUGUUUUUACCCCCCCCUACUGAUUUUGUUUACUUUUUUGCACAUUUGGCACACUUAACAUUUUCAGAUAGCCACACUAAUGUAAACAUUACCCAUGACCCAAGUAAGCAUAAAAUGCAGUUUCUCAGUGAUUAA
Engraulis encrasicolus (European anchovy) is the source of this 1333-nucleotide long non-coding RNA. RefSeq lists it as uncharacterized. Lineage: Eukaryota; Metazoa; Chordata; Actinopteri; Clupeiformes; Engraulidae. The transcript has 2 exons. The record is from RefSeq and is a predicted model, not a curated record.